RNAcentral lists this ribosomal RNA (120 nucleotides) under uncultured bacterium. RNAcentral's name for it is "partial 16S ribosomal RNA". The record is from RNAcentral.
CGACGCCGCGUGGGGGGAAUGGAAGCGUUUUUCGGAAGUGUAAACCCCUUUUCGACCCGGACGGAAUGACCCGCAAGGGUUUGACGGUACGGGUAUAAGAAGCCCCGGCUAACUACGUGC